GACGAACGCUGGCGGCGUGCCUAAUACAUGCAAGUAGAACGCACAGUUUAUACCGUAGCUUGCUACACCAUAGACUGUGAGUUGCGAACGUGUGAGUAACGCGUCGGUAACCUGCCUGGUAGCGGGUGCUAACUAUUGUAACCGAUAGCUAAUACCGCCUCAUAUUUAUUAUUGCAUGAUAAUUAAUUUAAAGGUGCAAUUUCACCACUACCAGAUGUACCUAAGUUGUAUUAGCUAGUAAGUGAGGUAACGGCUCACCUAGGCGACGAUACAUAGCCGACCUUAGAGGGUGAACGGCCACACUGGGACUGGGAAACGGCCCAGACUCCCACGGGAGGGAGCAGUAGGGAAACUUCGGAAAAGGAGGAAAGGCUGAACGAGCAAAGGCGCGGGAGUGAAGAAGGUUUUCGGAUCGGAAAGCUAUGUUGUAAGAGAAGAAAGGGUGUGAGAGUGGAAAGUUCACACUGUGACGGUAUCUGAACAGAAAGGGACGGCUAACUACGUG
Molecule: ribosomal RNA, 505 nt
Filed under: uncultured bacterium
Lineage: Bacteria
Description: partial 16S ribosomal RNA
Rfam family: Bacterial small subunit ribosomal RNA
Source: RNAcentral